CCUACGGGAGGCAGCAGUGAGGAAUAUUGGUCAAUGGGCGCAAGCCUGAACCAGCCAAGUCGCGUGAGGGAAGACGGUCCUAUGGAUUGUAAACCUCUUUUGUCGGGGAGCAAAAGACGCCACGCGUGGCGUUCCGCGCGUACCCGAAGAAAAAGCAUCGGCUAACUCCGUGCCAGCAGCCGCGGUAAUACGGAGGAUGCGAGCGUUAUCCGGAUUUAUUGGGGUUAAAGGGUGCGCAGGCGGAAGAUCAAGUCAGCGGUAAAAUUGAGAGGCUCAACCUGUUCGAGCCGUUGAAACUGGUGUUCUUGAGUGAGGGAGAGGUAUGCGGAAUGCGUGGUGUAGCGGUGAAAUGCAUAGAUAUCACGAAGAACUCCGGUUGCGAAGGCAGCAUACUGGCGCUUAACUGACGCUGAGGCACGAAAGUGUGGGUAGCGAACAGGAUUAGAUACCCGAGUAGUC
Molecule: ribosomal RNA, 459 nt
Filed under: uncultured bacterium
Lineage: Bacteria
Description: partial 16S ribosomal RNA
Rfam family: Bacterial small subunit ribosomal RNA
Source: RNAcentral